GAUGAACGCUGGCGGCGUGCUUAACACAUGCAAGUCGAACGAAGCAGGAGGGUGCUUGCACCUUCCUGACUGAGUGGCGGACGGGUGAGUAACACGUGGAUAAUCUGCCCUGCACAGGGGGACAACAGCUAGAAAUGGCUGCUAAUACCGCAUAAGCCUACAGCCUCGCAUGAGGGAGUAGGAAAAGAAAUUCGGUGCAGGAUGAGUCCGCGUCUGAUUAGCUAGUUGGAGGGGUAAAAGCCCACCAAGGCAAUGAUCAGUAGCCGGCCUGAGAGGGCGACCGGCCACAUUGGGACUGAGACACGGCCCAA
This 311-nucleotide ribosomal RNA is filed under the name uncultured bacterium. RNAcentral's name for it is "bacterial SSU rRNA". It matches the Rfam family "Bacterial small subunit ribosomal RNA", at positions 28 to 334 of the family's 1533-position model. The record is from RNAcentral.